This 355-nucleotide ribosomal RNA is filed under the name uncultured bacterium. Its description in RNAcentral is "bacterial SSU rRNA". It matches the Rfam family "Bacterial small subunit ribosomal RNA", at positions 527 to 881 of the family's 1533-position model. The record is from RNAcentral.
GUAGGGGGCAAGCGUUAUCCGGAUUUACUGGGUGUAAAGGGAGCGUAGGUGGAUUGUUAAGUCAGAUGUGAAAUCCCCGGGCUCAACCUGGGAACUGCAUCUGAUACUGGCAAGCUUGAGUCUCGUAGAGGGGGGUAGAAUUCCAGGUGUAGCGGUGAAAUGCGUAGAGAUCUGGAGGAAUACCGGUGGCGAAGGCGGCCCCCUGGACGAAGACUGACGCUCAGGUGCGAAAGCGUGGGGAGCAAACAGGAUUAGAUACCCUGGUAGUCCACGCCGUAAACGAUGUCGACUUGGAGGUUGUGCCCUUGAGGCGUGGCUUCCGGAGCUAACGCGUUAAGUCGACCGCCUGGGGAGU